This 388-nucleotide ribosomal RNA is filed under the name Corythoichthys intestinalis (scribbled pipefish). RNAcentral's name for it is "partial small subunit ribosomal RNA". It matches the Rfam family "Bacterial small subunit ribosomal RNA", at positions 797 to 1399 of the family's 1533-position model. The record is from RNAcentral. Lineage: Eukaryota; Metazoa; Chordata; Actinopteri; Syngnathiformes; Syngnathidae.
CUAGUGUAAACAUUGAUUUGUCAACCAAAAUCCGCCUGGGAACUACGAGCGCAGCUUGAAACCCAAAGGACUUGGCGGUGCCUUAGACCCCCCUAGAGGAGCCUGUUCUGUAACUGAUGCCCCCCGUUUAACCUCACCCUCCCUUGCUUUUCCCGCCUAUAUACCGCCGUCGUCAGCUCACCCUACGAAGGCUUCAAGUGAGCAAAAUUGGCAACCCCUAAAACGUCAGGUCGAGGUGUAGUACAUGAGAGGGGAAGAAAUGGGCUACAUUCGUUUAUCAACGACACGAAUGACUUAUUGAAACAUUUGCUGAAGGAGGAUUUAGCAGUAAGAAGGGACUAGAGAGCCUUCUGAAACCGGCCCUGAGGUGCGCACACACCGCCCGUCA